AGCUGCAUUGCUGGGCAAGUUGUCCUUUGGCAGAUGUUGCAGUUCAGCACCCAUGCUUCGGGUUAAUUAGCAGACUACUGCCAAAGGAAAUUUGCCCCGGAAUACAUCU
Oryza brachyantha (malo sina) is the source of this 109-nucleotide non-coding RNA. NCBI's taxonomy places the organism in Eukaryota, Viridiplantae, Streptophyta, Magnoliopsida, Poales, Poaceae. The record is from Rfam.